AUCAGCUCGGGCUCACGGCCGCAAGCUCGCAUGGCAUGGCAAACCGCUUCAGCGCAUG
RNAcentral lists this non-coding RNA (58 nucleotides) under Symbiodinium sp. CCMP2430. The record is from RNAcentral. Lineage: Eukaryota; Dinophyceae; Suessiales; Symbiodiniaceae.